This 2868-nucleotide ribosomal RNA is filed under the name Pedobesia claviformis. Its description in RNAcentral is "LSU rRNA". It matches the Rfam family "Bacterial large subunit ribosomal RNA". Lineage: Eukaryota; Viridiplantae; Chlorophyta; Ulvophyceae; Bryopsidales; Derbesiaceae. The record is from RNAcentral.
AAAAAUAGUAAUGUUUAUGGUGGAUACCUAAGUACUCAAAGACGAUGAAGGGCGUGAUUAACUGCGAAAAGCUUUGAUGAAUUGUAAAUAAGUAUUUAAUUCAAAGAUUCCCGAAUAGAAAAAUCUAUAAAACUCUCUUUUAAAUUCAUAGAAAGAGCAGAGAUAACUUAGUGAAUUGAAACAUCUUAGUAACUAAAGGAAAAGAAAGCAAAUGCGAUUUCCCGAGUAGUGGCGAACGAAAUGGAAAUAGUCUAAACUAAUCUUCAGAUUAGGGUUGGGGGACUAAUGCAACAAUAUUUAAUUAUAUUUAUAGAAACAGCUGAAACCUGUACCAUAGAUGGUGAAAGUCCAGUAUAUAAUCAAUAAUGAAUAUCAAUGAAGUCCCAAGUAGCUUGAGACACGUGUAAUCUCUUGUGAAUCAACGAGGACCACCUCGUAAGACUAAAUACUCUUGAGUAACUGAUAGUGAAGAAGUACCGUGAGGGAAAGGUGAAAAAGAACCCCUACAGGGGAGUGAAAUAGAAUUUGAAACCUUAAACAAACAAACAGUGGGAGAAUUAUUCAUUUGACCGCGUGCCUGUUGAAGAAUGAGCCGGCGACUUAUAUAAAAUGGCAAGGUUAAGAUAGAAAUUGAAGCCGUAGUGAAAACGAGUCUGAAAAGGGCGUUUGAGUCAUUUUAUAUAGACCCGAAGCCGAGUGAUCUAACCAUGACCAGGAGGAAACUUGGUUAAACCCAAGUGAAAGUCCGAACUGACCAAUGCUGAAAAAUUGCCAGAUGAGUUGUGGUUAGGGGUGAAAUGCCAAUCGAACUCGGAGCUAGCUGGUUCUCCUCGAAAUGCGUUGAGGCGCAGCAUUUAAACACGAACUUAGGGGUAAAGCACUGUUUCGGUGCGGGCUAUGAGAGUGGUACCAAAUCGUUGCAAACUAAGAAUACUAAAGUUCAAAAUUUAAAUAGUGAGACUAUGGGGGAUAAGCUUCAUUGUCAAAAGGGAAACAGCCCAGAUCAUCAGCUAAGGCCCCUAAAUAAUUACUAAGUGUUAAAGGAGGUGUAAAUGCAUAAACAACCAAUAGGUUUGCCUAGAAGCAGCCAUCCUUUAAAGAAUGCGUAACAGCUCACUGGUCAAGCGUUUAUGCACCAAAAAUGAAAUUGGGACUUAAGUAGUUUGCCGAAGCUAUGAGCUUGUAUAAGCAAGCGGUAGAGGAGCGUUCUGCAUUAGGGUGAAGUGAAAAUGUUAAUUUUUGUGGACGAAGCAGAAGUGAGAAUGUCGGCUUGAGUAACGUAAACAUUGGUGUGAAUCCAAUGCCCCGUAAAUCUAAGGAUUCCUUUACCAGGUUCGUCCUUAAAGGGUUAGUCAGGUUCUAAAAUGAGAUCGAAAGGUGUAAUUGAUGAUAAACAGGUUAAUAUUCCUGUACUUAUUUUUUCUAACAAUAACGAGGGACGAAGUAGGCUAUAACAGCAAUAUAUUGGAUAAUUGCGUAAAUAAUAAGGUAUAUUUAGGAAUAAAAACCUAAAUGAAGCUAAAUUAUGAUACAAUUGGGUUUAUCCUAGUUUUGUUUGAAGUCACACUUCCAAGAAAAUCUUGUAUUAUUUUGAAGAAAUAACCUGUACCGUAAACCGACACAGGUGGAUGGGUAGAAUAUACUAAGGGGCGCGAGAUAACCCUCUCUAAGGAACUCGGCAAAAUAACUCCGUAACUUCGGGAGAAGGGGUACCCUAUAUAUAGGGUGACAGUAAAUGGACCCAGGCGACUGUUUACCAAAAACACAGGUCUCCGCAAAAUCGAAAGAUAACGUAUGGGGGCUGACGCCUGCCCAGUGCCGGAAGGUUAAAGAAGUAGGUUAUUCUUAAGAAAAAGCUUACAACAUAAGCCCCGGUGAACGGCGGCCGUAACUCUGACGGUCCUAAGGUAGCGAAAUUCCUUGUCACGUAAGUUGUGACCCGCACGAAAGGCGUAACGAUCUGGGUACUGUCUCAGAGAGGGUCUCGGUGAAAUAGACAUGUCCGUGAAGAUGCGGACUUCUUGUACCUGGACAGAAAGACCCUAUGAAGCUUUACUGUAUCUUGAAAUUGAAUUUAAGUUUAUUUUGCGCAGUCUAAGUGGGAGGCUAUGAGAGUGUUUUUUCGGAAAUAUUAGAGCCAUCAGUGAGAGACCACUCUUUGUACACUAAAAUUCUAAUAAUGAGUUCUUGAAUCAGAACAUUUGACAGUUUCAGGUGGGCAGUUUUUUUGGGGCGAAAACCUCCUAAAAAGUAACGGAGGUGUACAAAGGUUCCCUCAGACUGGACGGAAAUCAGUUGUAGAAUGUAAAGGUAAAAGGGAGCUUAACUGUAAGACUGACACGUCGAACAGAGGCGAAAGCCGGUCUUAGUGAUCCGACGAUGCUGAGUGGAAGGGUCGUCGCUCAACGGAUAAAAGUUACUCUAGGGAUAACAGGCUAAUCUUCCUCAAGAGUUCAUAUCGACGGGAAGGUUUGGCACCUCGAUGUCGGCUCAUCGCAACCUGGGGCGGUAGUUUGUCCCAAGGGUUGGGCUGUUCGCCCAUUAAAGCGGUACGUGAGCUGGGUUCAGAACGUCGUGAGACAGUUUGGUCCAUAUCCGGUAUAAGCGUAAGAAUAUUGAAAAGAGCUUUCUAUAAUACGAGAGGACUUGGAAAGAUGAACCAAGGGUGUACCAGUUCUUAUGCCCAUAGGAAACGCUGGGUAGCUACGUUCAGAGGGAUAACUGCUGAAAGCAUAUAAGUAGGAAGCCUACUUUGAGAUGAGUAUUCUUUAUGAGAUCGCGGGAAGACUACCUGCUUGAGAGGAAUUAAGUGUAAGACUAGUAAUAGUUUCAGCUAAAAUUUACUAAUGAUCCAAAUUUUUGAUUAAU